This 253-nucleotide ribosomal RNA is filed under the name uncultured bacterium. RNAcentral's name for it is "partial 16S ribosomal RNA". It matches the Rfam family "Bacterial small subunit ribosomal RNA", at positions 524 to 776 of the family's 1533-position model. The record is from RNAcentral.
UACGUAGGAGGCGAGCGUUGUCCGGAAUCACUGGGUGUAAAGCGCGUGUAGGCGGCCUGCCAAGUCUGCUGUGAAAGCGCCUGGCUUAACCGGGCGAGGUCGGUGGAAACUGGCGGGCUGGAGGUCGGUAGAGGGGGGUGGAAUUCCCGGUGUAGUGGUGAAAUGCGUAGAGAUCGGGAGGAACACCAGUGGCGAAGGCGGCCCCGUGGGCCGUACCUGACGCUGAGACGCGAAAGCGCGGGGAGCGAACGGG